GAGUACCUGGAAUUGCAGGUGCCCAUCACCAUGCUCAGCUAAUUUUUGUAUUUUUAGUAGAGACGAGGUUUCACCAUGUAGGCCAGGCUGGUCUCGAACUCCCAACCUCAAGUGAUCUACCUGCCUCAGCCUCCCAAAGUACUGGGAUUACAGGGAAAAACUUAAAAUGGAUAUGAAAAGUGAAGAAAGUGAUCAUAGGAGAAAACCAUUUCAGGUAAAAAUAAAAAACAAAGAGCAAAUAAGAUUUACUGUUUUUAAAGAAAAACAACAUUCUUUUGACUGUGUUUUGUUAUAAGAAUUAAUUUCAUAUUCUUUAUGAGUGUAACUGUUGAAAUUUUAUUGAUGGUUUUCAUUUGAAAAUGUGUGCUAUGACCUACCUUUGUGAAAAAUUUCUUGUGGUCAAUUGGGCAGUUUGUGUCCCAUUGAAUAUAUGUCUGUGUAUCCAUACGCUUAAGAUAGGUGCAAUACGGUUUACUAGAAAGCUUUAUAGGAAAA
Molecule: long non-coding RNA, 495 nt
Filed under: Homo sapiens (human)
Lineage: Eukaryota; Metazoa; Chordata; Mammalia; Primates; Hominidae
Description: mir-99a-let-7c cluster host gene
Source: RNAcentral